UGGAAUCGCUAGUAAUCGCGAAUCAGAAUGUCGCGGUGAAUACGUUCCCGGGUCUUGUACACACCGCCCGUCACACCAUGGGAGUCAGCAACGCCCGAAGUCAGUGACCUAACCGAAAGGGAGGAGCUGCCGAAGGCGGGGCCGGUAACUGGGGUGAAGUCGUAACAAGGUACC
Molecule: ribosomal RNA, 174 nt
Filed under: uncultured bacterium
Lineage: Bacteria
Description: partial 16S ribosomal RNA
Rfam family: Bacterial small subunit ribosomal RNA
Source: RNAcentral